UACGGGGGAUGCAAGCGUUAUCCGGAUUUAUUGGGUUUAAAGGGUGCGUAGGCUGUGAGGUAAGUCAGCGGUGAAAUGCCCCCGCUCAACGGGGUGAAGUGCCAUUGAUACUGCCUUGCUGGAAUUCCGAUGCCGUCGGAGGAAUGUGUGGUGUAGCGGUGAAAUGCAUAGAUAUCACACAGAACACUGAUUGCGAAGGCAUCUGACGAAUCGGAGAUUGACGCUGAUGCACGAAAGCGUGGGUAUCGAACAGG
This 254-nucleotide ribosomal RNA is filed under the name uncultured Bacteroidales bacterium. RNAcentral's name for it is "partial 16S ribosomal RNA". It matches the Rfam family "Bacterial small subunit ribosomal RNA", at positions 524 to 776 of the family's 1533-position model. The record is from RNAcentral. Lineage: Bacteria; Pseudomonadati; Bacteroidota; Bacteroidia; Bacteroidales.